GACGUAGGGGGCCAGCGUUGCUCGGAAUUACUGGGCGUAAAGGGUCCGUAGGCGGUGCGACAAGUCGGAAGUGAAAUCUCCGGGCUUAACUCGGAGCCUGCUUCCGAAACUGCCGUGCUCGAGUGCGGGAGAGGCGAGUGGAAUUGCAGGUGUAGCGGUGAAAUGCGUAGAUAUCUGCAGGAACACCCGCGGCGAAGGCGGCUCGCUGGACCGCAACUGACGCUGAGGGACGAAAGCUAGGGGAGCAAACAGG
Molecule: ribosomal RNA, 253 nt
Filed under: uncultured bacterium
Lineage: Bacteria
Description: partial 16S ribosomal RNA
Rfam family: Bacterial small subunit ribosomal RNA
Source: RNAcentral